ACACUGCCUUUGAGCCCCCAUUACCUGACCUUAGGGUGGCCUCAGGGCCAGACUUCAGUGCCAGAACACCAGCUGAGCUUAUAACUGAGGUCACCAGCCCCCCUUGUCAGCGGUCUUUUCACCAGCUGGGUGUGACAUGU
Sorex fumeus (smoky shrew) is the source of this 140-nucleotide small nucleolar RNA. The record is from RefSeq and is a predicted model, not a curated record. Lineage: Eukaryota; Metazoa; Chordata; Mammalia; Eulipotyphla; Soricidae.